CCUACGGGUGGCAGCAGUGAGGAAUAUUGGUCAAUGGGCUUACGCCUGAACCAGCCAAGUCGCGUGAGGGAAGACUGCCCUAUGGGUUGUAAACCUCUUUUGUCAGGGAGCAAUUGGCGCUACGUGUAGCGUUAUCGAGAGUACCUGAAGAAAAAGCAUCGGCUAACUCCGUGCCAGCAGCCGCGGUAAUACGGAGGAUGCGAGCGUUAUCCGGAUUCACUGGGUGUAAAGGGAGCGUAGACGGCCAUGCAAGCCAGGGGUGAAAGCCCGGGGCCCAACCCCGGGACUGCCCUUGGAACUGUGCGGCUAGAGUGCGGGAGGGGCAGGCGGAAUUCCUGGUGUAGCGGUGAAAUGCGUAGAUAUCAGGAGGAACACCGGCGGCGAAGGCGGCCUGCUGGACCGCGACUGACGUUGAGGCUCGAAAGCGUGGGGAGCGAACAGGAUUAGAUACCCUUGUAGUC
Molecule: ribosomal RNA, 461 nt
Filed under: uncultured bacterium
Lineage: Bacteria
Description: partial 16S ribosomal RNA
Rfam family: Bacterial small subunit ribosomal RNA
Source: RNAcentral